CAGGCACGUCGAUGUGAAGAUUCACCGCUGUAGUAAACAACAAAAUAAAUGGUCAUUGAUUCAUACUUCAUUGUAACUAAAAAAGAAAGAACUUACAUUUUGGCGACGCCGGUGGCAGCCACUGUAUUGAAGACAGGAACCACAUAAAUAAUAAACCUCAGCUCCUUGUGAGGCAGAUUGGAGUACAGGAGAACGUAACCCAGGGCAGGAAUCAACAGGGGUCGAAGCAAGAGCCCUGAGUUAGAGGACAAUGAAAGGAUACACCCCAUUUGGAGCUCUGGUUGUCCACCGUGUUAAACCACAGGACCUCACCCUCGGGCCACAGCCACCGCCUCCAUAAGAAGCUGUCCACCAG
This is a long non-coding RNA of Magallana angulata, 355 nucleotides long. RefSeq lists it as uncharacterized. The transcript has 3 exons. Lineage: Eukaryota; Metazoa; Mollusca; Bivalvia; Ostreida; Ostreidae. The record is from RefSeq and is a predicted model, not a curated record.